UACAGAGGUCUCGAGCGUUAGGCGGAAUCACUGGGCUUAAAGCGUGUGUAGGCGGAUCGUUAAGUGCCUUGUGAAAUCCCACGGCUUAACCGUGGAACUGCUUGGCAUACUGGCGAUCUUGAGCAACCUAGGGGCGAGCGGAACAAAUGGUGGAGCGGUGAAAUGCGUAGAUAUCAUUUGGAACGCCAAUGGUGAAAACAGCUCGCUGGGGGUUUGCUGACGCUGAGACGACGAAAGCCAGGGGAGCAAACGGG
Molecule: ribosomal RNA, 254 nt
Filed under: uncultured bacterium
Lineage: Bacteria
Description: partial 16S ribosomal RNA
Rfam family: Bacterial small subunit ribosomal RNA
Source: RNAcentral